This 300-nucleotide ribosomal RNA is filed under the name uncultured bacterium. RNAcentral describes it as "bacterial SSU rRNA". It matches the Rfam family "Bacterial small subunit ribosomal RNA", at positions 30 to 335 of the family's 1533-position model. The record is from RNAcentral.
CCUGAACGCUGGCGGCGUGGUUAAGACAUGCAAGUCGAACGGGUGUAGCAAUACACCAGUGGCGGACGGGUGAGUAAUGUAUCGCUAAUGUACCCCGGAGCCAGGGAUAGCUACCCGAAAGGGUAGGUAAUACCUGAUGAGACCACGGAGAGGCAUCUCUCUGUGCUCAAAAGCCGUUAAGGCACUCUGGGAGCAGGCGAUAUCGUAUCAGCUAGUUGGGAGGUAACGGCUCACCAAGGCUAUGACGCGUAGCUGGUCUGAGAGGACGGCCAGCACAUUGGGACUGAGACACUGCCCAGA